RNAcentral lists this ribosomal RNA (492 nucleotides) under uncultured bacterium. Its description in RNAcentral is "partial 16S ribosomal RNA". It matches the Rfam family "Bacterial small subunit ribosomal RNA", at positions 30 to 507 of the family's 1533-position model. The record is from RNAcentral.
AGUGAACGCUGGCGGUAGGCCUAACACAUGCAAGUCGAGCGGCAGCACAGUAAGAGCUUGCGGUUACGGGGGGGGAGGGGCGGACGGGGGAGGAGUACAUGGGAGGCUGCGGGGGCGAGGGGGAGAACGUGGGGGAUCAUACGGCAUUAGCGCAGAGGGCGUACGGGGGAAAGCAGGGGAUCUUCGGACCUUGGACGAGUCAAUGAGCCGAUGUCGGAUUAGCUAGUUGGCGGGGUAAAGGCCCACCAAGGCGACGAUCCGUAGCUGGUCUGAGAGGAUGAUCAGCCACACUGGAACUGAGACACGGUCCAGACUCCUACGGGAGGCAGCAGUGGGGAAUAUUGGACAAUGGGCGAAAGCCUGAUCCAGCCAUACCGCGUGGGUGAAGAAGGCCUUCGGGUUGUAAAGCCCUUUUGUUGGGAAAGAAAAGCAGCAGGUUAAUACCCCGCUGUUCUGACGGUACCAAAAGAAUAAGCACCGGCUAACUUCGUG